Molecule: ribosomal RNA, 253 nt
Filed under: uncultured prokaryote
Description: partial 16S ribosomal RNA
Rfam family: Bacterial small subunit ribosomal RNA
Source: RNAcentral
ACGUAGGGUGCGAGCGUUAAUCGGAAUUACUGGGCGUAAAGCGUGCGCAGGCGGCUUUGCAAGACAGAUGUGAAAUCCCCGGGCUUAACCUGGGAACUGCAUUUGUGACUGGCAGGCUAGAGUAUGGCAGAGGGGGGUAGAAUUCCACGUGUAGCAGUGAAAUGCGUAGAGAUGUGGAGGAAUACCGAUGGCGAAGGCAGCCCCCUGGGCCAAUACUGACGCUCAUGCACGAAAGCGUGGGGAGCAAACAGGA